GACGAACGCUGGCGGCGUGCUUAACACAUGCAAGUCGAACGGUGAAGCUCCAGCUUGCUGGAGUGGAUCAGUGGCGAACGGGUGAGUAACACGUGAGCAACCUGCCCCUGACUCUGGAAUAAGCGCUGGAAACGGCGUCUAAUACUGGAUACGAGAAGGGUCCGCAUGGGCACUUUCUGGAAAGUUUUUCGGUUGGGGAUGGGCUCGCGGCCUAUCAGCUUGUUGGUGAGGUAAUGGCUCACCAAAGCGACGACGGGUAGCCGGCCUGAGAGGGCGACCGGCCACACUGGGACUGAGACACGGCCCAGACUCCUACGGGAGGCAGCAGUGGGGAAUAUUGCACAAUGGGCGAAAGCCUGAUGCAGCGACGCCGCGUGAGGGAUGACGGCCUUCGGGUUGUAAACCUCUUUCAGCAGGGAAGAAGCGAAAGUGACGGUACCUGCAGAAGAAGCACCGGCUAACUACGUG
RNAcentral lists this ribosomal RNA (468 nucleotides) under uncultured bacterium. Its description in RNAcentral is "partial 16S ribosomal RNA". It matches the Rfam family "Bacterial small subunit ribosomal RNA", at positions 28 to 507 of the family's 1533-position model. The record is from RNAcentral.